UACGAACCGUGCAAACGUUAUUCGGAAUCACUGGGCAUAAAGGGCGCGUAGGCGGCUUCAUAAGUCAGGGGUGAAAUCCGGCAGCUCAACUGUCGCAGUGCCUUUGAUACUGUGAAGCUCGAGGGAGGUAGGGGUCUGUGGAACUUCCGGUGGAGCGGUGAAAUGCGUUGAUAUCGGAAGGAACGCCGGUGGCGAAAGCGACGGACUGGAUCUAUUCUGACGCUGAGGCGCGAAAGCCAGGGGAGCAAACGGG
This 253-nucleotide ribosomal RNA is filed under the name uncultured bacterium. RNAcentral describes it as "partial 16S ribosomal RNA". It matches the Rfam family "Bacterial small subunit ribosomal RNA", at positions 524 to 776 of the family's 1533-position model. The record is from RNAcentral.